CUCCACACUCAGUAUUCUUCCAUUUGAGAAAGAGCAGAAAAGUCCAUGGCGUGCUUCUAAAAUGAUUAAUUUCUUUAAUUCCAGUUCCACUACCACCAUCAUCUACAAUCUAAUUUCAGCUGGUAUCCACUCUGUCCUGUAAAGCACUCCUGAGUACCUCCUCUUUCUCUGAAGACUGAGGAACAAAACUUUCAAGUUUCAUCUUCUUUGUAUGUCUAUAUAAACUUAAGUCUCCAGAGACUAUGGCUGAUGAAAGGACUCUGCUAAGAUGUUUGCCGCUAAUAGACACUUUCCUGGGCUAUGUUAUGAAAAAUUAGGUUUAUGUUGUUAUAGCCAUUGGGCAGUCGUGAAAAAAGGCUGCAAGUGAUGAACUGAGACAGAGGGGGAAGAGACUAAUGUUUUAAACACCUUUUUUUAUUCUGUUUUUUUUUUUUGCUAAAAUUUGUUUAAUUAAAUAG
Molecule: long non-coding RNA, 458 nt
Organism: Alligator sinensis (Chinese alligator)
Lineage: Eukaryota; Metazoa; Chordata; Crocodylia; Alligatoridae
Exons: 4
Source: RefSeq, a predicted model, not a curated record